RNAcentral lists this ribosomal RNA (497 nucleotides) under uncultured bacterium. RNAcentral describes it as "partial 16S ribosomal RNA". It matches the Rfam family "Bacterial small subunit ribosomal RNA", at positions 28 to 507 of the family's 1533-position model. The record is from RNAcentral.
GAUGAACGCUGGCGGCGUGCCUAAUACAUGCAAGUCGAGCGAACAGACGAGGAGCUUGCUCCUCUGACGUUAGCGGCGGACGGGUGAGUAACACGUGGAUAACCUACCUAUAAGACUGGGAUAACUUCGGGAAACCGGAGCUAAUACCGGAUAAUAUAUUGAACCGCAUGGUUCAAUAGUGAAAGACGGUUUUGCUGUCACUUAUAGAUGGAUCCGCGCCGCAUUAGCUAGUUGGUAAGGUAACGGCUUACCAAGGCGACGAUGCGUAGCCGACCUGAGAGGGUGAUCGGCCACACUGGAACUGAGACACGGUCCAGACUCCUACGGGAGGCAGCAGUAGGGAAUCUUCCGCAAUGGGCGAAAGCCUGACGGAGCAACGCCGCGUGAGUGAUGAAGGUCUUCGGAUCGUAAAACUCUGUUAUUAGGGAAGAACAAAUGUGUAAGUAACUAUGCACGUCUUGACGGUACCUAAUCAGAAAGCCACGGCUAACUGCGUG